RNAcentral lists this ribosomal RNA (406 nucleotides) under uncultured bacterium. Its description in RNAcentral is "partial 16S ribosomal RNA". It matches the Rfam family "Bacterial small subunit ribosomal RNA", at positions 30 to 526 of the family's 1533-position model. The record is from RNAcentral.
AUUGAACGCUGGCGGCAGGCCUAACACAUGCAAGUCGAACGAGUGGCGGACGGGUGAGUAAUGUCUGGGACACUGCCUGAUGGAGGGGGAUAACUACUGGAAACGGUAGCUAAUACCGCAUACCAUCAGAUGUGCCCAGAUGGGAUUAGCUAGUUGGUGGGGUAACGGCUCACGAAGGCGACGAUCCCUACCUGGUCUGAGAGGAUGACCAGACACACUGGAACUGAGACAGGGUCCAGACUCCUACGGGAGGCAGCAGUGGGGAAUAUUGGACAAUGGGCGCAAGCCUGAUGCAGCCAUGCCGCGUGUAUGAAGAAGGUCUUCGGGUUGUAAAGUACUUUAAGCGGGGAGGCGUUACCCGCAGAAGAAGCACCGGCGAACUCCGUGCCAGCCGCCGCGGUAAUUC